This 497-nucleotide ribosomal RNA is filed under the name uncultured bacterium. Its description in RNAcentral is "partial 16S ribosomal RNA". It matches the Rfam family "Bacterial small subunit ribosomal RNA", at positions 28 to 507 of the family's 1533-position model. The record is from RNAcentral.
GAUGAACGCUGGCGGCGUGCCUAAUACAUGCAAGUCGAGCGAACGGACGAGAAGCUUGCUUCUCUGAUGUUAGCGGCGGACGGGUGAGUAACACGUGGAUAACCUACCUAUAAGACUGGGAUAACUUCGGGAAACCGGAGCUAAUACCGGAUAAUAUUUUGAACCGCAUGGUUCAAAAGUGAAAGACGGUCUUGCUGUCACUUAUAGAUGGAUCCGCGCUGCAUUAGCUAGUUGGUAAGGUAACGGCUUACCAAGGCAACGAUGCAUAGCCGACCUGAGAGGGUGAUCGGCCACACUGGAACUGAGACACGGUCCAGACUCCUACGGGAGGCAGCAGUAGGGAAUCUUCCGCAAUGGGCGAAAGCCUGACGGAGCAACGCCGCGUGAGUGAUGAAGGUCUUCGGAUCGUAAAACUCUGUUAUUAGGGAAGAACAUAUGUGUAAGUAACUGUGCACAUCUUGACGGUACCAAAUCAGAAAGCAACGGCUAACUACGUG